This 250-nucleotide ribosomal RNA is filed under the name uncultured archaeon. Its description in RNAcentral is "partial 16S ribosomal RNA". It matches the Rfam family "Bacterial small subunit ribosomal RNA", at positions 524 to 773 of the family's 1533-position model. The record is from RNAcentral.
UACGGAGGGUGCAAGCGUUAAUCGGAAUCACUGGGCGUAAAGCGCACGUAGGCGGCCCGCUAAGUCAGAUGUGAAACCCCUGGGCUCAACCUGGGAAUGGCAUUUGAUACUGGCAAGCUCGAGUCCGAGAGAGGGGGGUGGAAUUCCAGGUGUAGCGGUGAAAUGCGUAGAUAUCUGGAGGAACACCGGUGGCGAAGGCGGCCCCCUGGCUCGUGACUGACGCUGAGGUGCGAAAGCGUGGGUAGCAAAC